UGGGGAAUUGUUCGCAAUGGGCGCAAGCCUGACGACGCAACGCCGCGUGGAGGACGAAGAUCUUCGGGUCGUAAACUCCUGUCGAGCGGGACGAACGCUUCGCGGAUGAACGAUCCGCGGAAUUGACGGUACCGCUAAAGGAAGCCCCGGCUAACUCCGUGCCAGCAGCCGCGGUAAUACGGGGGGGGCAAGCGUUGUUCGGAAUUACUGGGCGUAAAGGGCUCGUAGGUGGCCAACUAAGUCGGAUGUGAAAUCCCCAGGCUCAACUUGGGAACUGCAGCCGAUACUGGAUGGCUUGAAUCCGGGAGAGGGAUGCAGAAUUCCAGGUGUAGCGGUGAAAUGCGUAGAUAUCUGGAAGAACACCAGUAGCGAAGGCGGUCUCUUGGUCCGUUACUGACGCUCAGGCGCGAAAGCGUGGGGAGCAAACAG
RNAcentral lists this ribosomal RNA (429 nucleotides) under uncultured bacterium. Its description in RNAcentral is "bacterial SSU rRNA". It matches the Rfam family "Bacterial small subunit ribosomal RNA", at positions 355 to 775 of the family's 1533-position model. The record is from RNAcentral.